AACAUAUCAGAUGGUAAGAUAGAGAAAGAGAGUGAAUAUAU
This 41-nucleotide non-coding RNA is filed under the name Trypanosoma brucei brucei. Lineage: Eukaryota; Euglenozoa; Kinetoplastea; Trypanosomatida; Trypanosomatidae. The record is from RNAcentral.